GCCUACGGCCAUACCACCCUGAGAACGCCCGAUCUCGUCUGAUCUCGGAAGCUAAGCAGGGUCGGGCCCGGUUAGUACUUGGAUGGGAGACCGCCUGGGAAUACCGGGUGCUGUAGGCU
Accipiter nisus (Eurasian sparrowhawk) is the source of this 119-nucleotide ribosomal RNA. NCBI's taxonomy places the organism in Eukaryota, Metazoa, Chordata, Aves, Accipitriformes, Accipitridae. The record is from Ensembl.